Non-coding RNA from Gossypium raimondii (Peruvian cotton), 87 nucleotides. The record is from Rfam. Lineage: Eukaryota; Viridiplantae; Streptophyta; Magnoliopsida; Malvales; Malvaceae.
CACGUCAGCGCGCUUUGCUGACGUGCCAAUAAGUCGCGUCCUCGAAGGGGCGAUUUGUUGCCACGCCAGCAAAGCGCGCUGACGUGG